AUAAAGCAUAGUAGAUAAAGAUAGGUGGGAAGAAACCUGAAGGAAAAUGAAAAAAUGAUAACAUUUGGAAGUCUCAAGGGAAGAAUAGAGAACAAUAAAACAACGUACUUCAAGAAACUCAGUGCAGGUCUGAAUCACUUCAGAGUGUGAGAGCUGAGCAAUAAAUAAUGUGGGCAACAGAAUUUUUAUGCUUGGUGUUCUUCUUUCUCUUUUUAAGUUUAAGUUGACUUAUUCCUGUUGAAAUGUACUCUACAUGACUUGGAGCAGGCUGAGGCAACUGCAGAUUCUAAACAGUAAUCUUUUAUAAUUCAUGCAAGACAAGUAAGACACCAGAAGAUCAGGAAGAGUAUGUCUUUCAACAGGAUAAAGGAACUGUAAGAGGUCAUUCUUUUACGCCGUUGCCUCAAAGCUUGCUGAGGGACACAGAUGAACAAGGUCAAGCAAGUCCUGACCAAGGAUUAAGAAAACCUUCGUCCUGAAGGGACAACAGAUGGACAACGCCUGGGGCAACGAGAGAGGGUAAGUGGCAGCUAAAUGGCCAGGAAACAGUCUUUUGUGUGGACUUAUCUCAAGGGAGACAGCCAUCUCAGGGGGGGCUCACAUGACCAAGCGCCCAGAAAUGUCACGUAGGCAGGGAAGGAGGAGGAUAAAAGAGGGUCCAACAACCAUGAAGUCAGGAUUCUGAUAACAGAUUCCACACGACCUGCCUCUCCCUCCCGGACUUCGCUCUGUGCUCUACCUGCUUGCUGCCUAAGGAUGGCCUCUCUGCUGCUGCUCACCCCUCCGAGAAGGUGUCUGCCAUCAGAUCCCUCACUACAAAAGGCCUGCAUGCUGACUGACUCUCCAGGGCCUGCUACCGGAGACCUGCUGCUUCCGCCCAGACUUCUUCCUGGACCUACUCGGUACCUGCCUGCACCUUCUCGCUGCCUAAGACCGGCCACACCGCUGCUGCUCUUCCCCUGCGCUUUUGCCCCGGACCAUCGGAACGUCGUGCAACGGGACUACUGCCGGAUCCUGGUGUUACAGAUCCUGGAUCGCUUUAAAAUGGAAAAGCCUCAAGCAGCGUUCAGCAACGUUCUCUCUCUUUUAUUAUUUACUGGAAUGGUCACUGUGAGAUCACUGCCUUUGAAGAAGAGUUAGAGAAAAUCCUGCUUUAAAACCAAAGGAAAUCCAGAUUAAACAGGAGAAUGUGGAGGAAGCACAAUGACAGCACAUGAAAUGUAAGAGAAGAGUGCUGAAGACCCUGCAAUCACUCUGGAAGAGACUUCCGUAUCUGCUUCUGCAGACUGUCUGGGACCGUUAAAUGACCAAAUAUUUAUCUGUGGUUGAAAAAAUGACAUAUUUCUUCUUGUUUGCUAUCUGGCCAUGUUGUUUGUACAAGCACCCUCAGAAGUGUGCAGAAGUAUACAUACAGCUGCAAGGAUAUCACUGAAAGGUAAACAGACAUUUGAAGAACUUACAAUCAAAUGCUUAACCUGGUGUAACAGUGACGCCAUCGUCUUCAUGCAUGUUAACAAAUCUCAAAUCAAGAGAUUUGAUUUUGAUUGUUUUGCUCAUGAUUGCAGCUGGAAAGAAGCACUAGUGUCUGCAAGAUAAAGAGAGCAAUCAAGUUCCACUUCUAGGUCCUAGGAUGAAAAAAAAAAAAGGCUCCUUCAAAGGAGGAAGCCUAUAACUGAUAUACCACUCUGUCUCCUGAGCAUGACAGUGAAAAAGAAAGGAUUUCAUUGCACCAAGAAGAGGACAACUCCUUCUGAAACUGUUAUCCUCAGAUGGGAACUACUGUGCAAAAAUUCAUCACAUUAUUUGAAAACGACUUGCACAAGUGUAUGCCCUGAAGCAAAACAUGAAUAUAUGUAUGCUACACAUAAUUGGCAUGGUAAUAUUAUCCACUGAAAUAUCUAGGUCUCUACAUCAAGCUAAACAUCACAGAGCUAUAAUAAACAAGUAAAUAAAGAAGUGGUGAUUAGCAAACUGGAUUUAUGUUCUUAAGUACCUGAUGUGCUGUAAGUCAGUUCAUACUCACAUCCUAAAGCAGUUUGUGAAAUGUAUAUCUAUUUAAAUGACAUUUACAAAACCUGUUUAUGCUUUCAACAUGAUAAAUUCAUCUUCAAUUACUUGGAAAAAUAGGGCGAGUAUUUAUAACCUGUUGUUCUUUUUUCAUAAAAGAAAAACCCAUGCCCAGGCAUUCCUAGUAUUUCUUACUUACAGUAUGACAUCCACAGUGUUCAUCAGAGUACAGUGCAGUGCUGUGCACCUGUAGGAACUGUUGCUUAAUUUCACAGCUUAGGUGCCCAAAUUAAAUUGCACUGAUUACCUCUUCGACUCCUAUAUUAAAAAUUACCUUUGGUGGCUUUAAUAUAGAUACUCAGGAAGGUUUAAAUUUUAAAUGGAUGACCAUGGGUUAAGCUUUAUUCCCUGUCUUAUUAGGAAUUAUACUAAAAAAGCUCUAACAGACUCCCCGUGUAUUUGCAAAAAUCUUUCUGGUGACACCUUAUGACAUCUUGUCAAAAUCCUCACUUUAUUCUUGCUAGUUUUACAUUAAGUUGCUGCCUGCUGGAAAUAAGUUUUAUCACAGCAGGAGCCUAAACCAACAUUUAUUUCAGAAAUCCCAAGAAAACAUUCAGAACUAUCACAGUUAUAGAAAUAUGUGCCCCACAUCUUCUGUGGGUGGAUAGAUACACGCCUGCAUCCGGAAGGCUGGAAACAGGUUUCAGCCCCUGACUGCGGAUGGCUCUGCUCAGAAAGCUCAACUACAACAGUCUUCAGCCAUCUGCUUGUUGCAAUCAGAUCCACUUCAAAGUGUCACAAUCUGACCUUUGUUAUGGCAACAAUAACUUGCAACGGAUGCUCAAGCCAGCUGGUCUGCAGAGAUCCUAGAUCGCCUCAGUGAGUUUAGAAUGACCUUUUGCAGUGCAGACACCAGAAGUCAAAGAGGUGAGCUAUCAUGUUAUCACAGAGAUCUCAGCAUGCUCUAAGGAGCUUUUUUUAGCCUAGGACUGAAAAAAGGGACUCCCUUUAGUGAAUCCUUGAGUCAGCUUUUUACUUCUGUGGUAGAGCCCAAAUGCAUUCUCCUUUCUCAGUUUAAACUUCACAUUUAAUAGAAAUUGUUUUUAUAACAAACAUUUAUGUAAAACCUCUUCAAUAAACUAGGUAGGGCUUCCUGUUAUUCUUUCACUGCUGCUUAGAUUUGUGGUGCUACUCUGAGGUGUUUGUAUUAUUGCUGUAAAGAAGAAGUAGUAAAACAAACUAUCCAAAAUAUUGUUUUGAGCCUCAUUGGCCACUGUUUUUCAUAUCUCUUGCCGUGAUAAGGAAUUCUCAGGUAAAAGAGCCAAACUUGUAUCCAUUUCCUCUUCCCUUCCAGAGAGUUUCUAAGAAUACAAAUGUACCCAAUUUCACAGGUAAUACACUACAUAUCUCUGGUUAUAUUCUGUUGUACUUAAGAGUUCUGACUUCUGUCUUUUUAUGGUCAUUUGUAGUCCACCAAGCCCAUUGUGAAAAUUUUACUGAAAACUUCUUGAAGUGGAUAUGCCUCUAAAUGCCUCCCAGUAUAAGAUAUUUUUUGUCCCUCAGUGACCUUCAAGAUCUGUUUUCACUAGUUUUCUCCAACAGGGAAAAAGACUUGGUGGUACAAACAUUCAUAUACAAGAGAUUUGUGGAAUUAUAUUUCAGUCAGAAAUUAAUCCAACCAUCACUUCUGAUUCUUGAAGAAAUCAGCAUCAGGUAACAGUUCAUAUUUCUACUGCAGUACUUUUCAGUUACAGAGAUCACCUUUGAAAGCAGUUUUGCCAACAGAACUAUCAAGAGCAACAAAUAUUGGGCCUGAAGAAUCCCAGAAGACACCUAUCUACUUCCCCAGAGAAUUGGAGAAUUCUGUUUCAUAAGCUGAGCUAGUGGGGUUUUGAUGAUUGAGUAAUCCUUCUUAACCUUGUAUCCUGCAGGGAAAGGGGCUUGGAAUAACAUCUAACAGCUUACAGAAACCAGAAGACAUACAGGCUGACAAAGCUCUUCAUUCAGAUAGUUCUCUUUUCUGAAAUUCUAUCUAGGCUUAAUGCUUUAUUGUUAGAAGAAUAGUAGUAGUAUUUUACGGUGCCUAAGCCACACGUACUCGUAUUGGUACUCUUUAAGGGGUACAGAAAUUCUUAAAAGAGGAAAAAACUCAAAACUAGUGAUUAAAAUGCACUACAAUCCAAGAGAAUAACAGUGAUGUGCUGUAAAGAUGAAUGGAGAAGUGAGCUAGGAUUAUGGUAUUACAGCCAGUAUUAUACUUUAUGGCUCAGAUUCAAAUUUAUAGCUCAUCCCAGAUAAAGUGAAUAACAUGCAGUCAACAUACAACAUUAAUUAGCUGUAUAUGGAAGUUGCAUGUGCUGUUCCCCCCCCACCUCCCCUUACUGUUCAUCUAACUCGCAUGUAUUUUUCUCUUUUUAGCAAAUACAGAAAAAGUUUCACUCAAGAGCACCUUUUGUUUAUUAGUGUUACACCUCAGAUUAUGGCAUGGUUUUACAGAUAUGUAAGAACAAGUUAUGAACUUCCUGCUUGAAUUCGGAGGCAGUUUGAGUUUUGAAGGCGAGACAAAUAUUGUUUCAUACCAUUUUCACCUGAUUCCUUAAAGUAUUAGGGAAAUUCUUCUUUGGAAAAUUUAUUACUGGUUGUACUAGGCACGGAGAGGUAUGAAAUUGCCUCCAACCAGUUUUAGUAUAACCCAUGAAAGAUAAUUGUCAUAAGCUAGUGUUAAGAAAAGAGUGGCUUACCUUGUUGAAAAGGCAAAGGCUUGCUGAAAACUCCCAGAAAGAAACAAGCUCUGAAUAUAGAUGUUUCCCCCUUGGCUACCAGCCCUUAAAUGGGGUUAGGGAGGUUGCACAGAUGAAUCUCUCGCACAUGUACUCCUAGGGCUUGCUAUGCCUCUUUACUAGACGCUCAAUUGCUCAAUUCCUGUUUCAGCCCAUGACCCAACAGUUCCCAUACACAGGAAAGUAGUGCUCCAGUACAAGAAAAGUACACAAGGGAAGAAAUUUGCCUUCAAAGAUUGCAUGUAGCCUUUUGAUCUUUCUGAAAGAGCAUAUUCACCCUUUAAACUGAAAAGACUUCAUGUUUUACUCUCAAAAAUUGAGUUUAUCAACAUGGUAAUCAUUAAAAUUACACUUAAAGUGUUGCUGGUAAAACUUGUACAUCAAAACCGCAUUCUUGCCUAAGUAAGAAUCUUCAAAGAAAGAUGCCUGUCUUUGAUUUUCAUUAAAAAGCUUAUAAGAAACAACUCCAGAAACUAAUAAUUUAUUUCUGAAAUUACUUUCAGUUAAGAGCAAUUUUCAGCUGAAAAUGAGCACUAGCCAUUGCAUUUUGCAGCUAAAAUGUUAGUAAAAAAUAUCUUGUAUACAUAAGAAAUAAUUUCAGACCAACUAUUCUUAAAAACAAAGAAAUACCUGCAAGCCAACUUUCCUUGCAAAUAAUUGUCUAGCCAUUUUAGAAAUUGCUCCAAAAGUAAUGCCUCCUAUUUAAUUACAAGAAAAUGACAACAGCUACGAAGAACAGUAUAACGCUAUUUGGUAAACUCUCAGUAACAAAACUUUUUUUUUCCACAUAGUCAUUACCAUUAGCUCCACAUCUUCAUCAGUGUGGAACAGAAGCCUAUAUAUUUUUUUCACAAGUACGGCAUGCAGUCGCUGUCAGUGGAAUUUGUGUUGCCACUGCUGAAGUGCACCACCUACAGCCUCAUUGUGCUCUCAUCUAGUACUUGGUCUCCAUAAACGUUCAGCAAGCAUCAGUGAAAGUCAUUUGGUACCAUUUUUCUGCAUGAGGGAAUUCAAUUCCACACCUUUGCUUCAUACAUGUUUCAAUGUCAGACACCAUAUUAUUAGACAUCCAGAGCAAACUUAAAACAGAGGCAUUAUUUUCCUGGAGAAGCUCUCAUAUAAUACUUAGUCUACUUUUUUUAAAAAAAAUAUAGACACUAAUUUGGUUAAUUUUUAGUGGAAAUCUGUAGUCAAAAGAAAAAAAAAAUCAUUCUAAAGUGAGGAAAACAUUAGGUUUUCAGGAAUUACCAAAACGAGCAAAAUCAAUACCAUAGCAUAAAUCUAGUGUAAGGCAACUUAACUAUGGUAAGUAUACAGUGUUAGUAUGAAUAUCUGAAAGUAACUCAGUAUGAUGAAAACACAAGAGGAAACACCAACUAAGAGAGUACAUCAGGAAGUCAUGCAUUGUGGAGAAUACCGAGUGUGGUUCAUAGUAUUAGAAGAGAAAAGGAAAAUACAGGUAAUUUUUUUACUUUCGGUAUACAGGAUGUUUCACCACACGCUAAGAAUUUAUGUAGACUGCACCACAGAAACUCUUAACUGUUACCCGGAGUGCAACACUAACUAAUUUUUGUGAUGAGGAAGGUGUAACACUGUAUCACAAGAGAAAGUACAGUGAUGACUGAGCAGAGUAGCUAAGUCCUAGGCUACAGCAAGAGAGGACCUACUCAAAUGCAACAGCCAUAAGCACAGAAAUAAAGGAAAGAACCUGCUUACCUUCAGAAGAUCUCAGGAAGACAGUGAUCUCCAGCAAGAAACCCUCACCUCCACUGCCAACCCUUAAAUGAGGUCUGGGAAGGGAUCUUGGUUCCAGCCCUUCCAGUCAUUCAGGUGCACUGUAUGCACCUGAGCUCCCCUGCAUUGGCCCUGCCUUCCCACCAUGUGCUCAAUCACUGGUUCAAGCCGUGACUUAGCAUUUCUGCUAUAGAAGGGAAGUCUUAUAACAGAAUCUGAGUGCUGAAAUAGUACUGUGAUUUUUUUGUUUCUGAUUUCUUAAAAAAGAACUCUGGGAAAAACAAUGCUGUAUUUGUCCUUAGAGUAUCAACUUUGUGUUCUUACAAGGCUCUUCCAAGCACAGAAAACGAUUACUACAGUAGCCAGUCUUAAUUAUUGGCACUUAAUUAUUGGCACAUUGCAAACCUCACAGAGAUAUUCAGUUUACACUGAAUGCAAAGAAAAAAUGUAGUGAAUCAAAAGAAAGCACUUUAAAAUAAAGCAGAAAAAUCCUUUUGGAUCACCUUCCUAACAUUUCCCUUAUCCAAAAGGAAGUACCUCCUGUGUUGGUAUUUCAAAUAUAUAUAUAUAUAUAUAUAUAUAUUUGCAACAAAAGGAUUUUUGAAAGGUGUUACUGUCAAAUGCCUAUUAAACUAAGUGUUACAUCCAUUCUACAAACAUGUAAAAAAUGUUAUUUGUGUUUAUUUUUAUUUUUCUCUAGAGCUAAAAAUAUCUACAGAAGUUAGCCUGGACUUUGCAGACAGUUUCUAUUGGGAUCGUGACUUCAUUCGCUGUUUGUCCAAAAAAAUGUCAGCAAAAUCUGGUCUUUAGCAUUCUGAAAAGUGGUUGCAUGUCCUCUAUCAGCAAAGCCUCACAUCUCAUAAUCUCAUUAAUUAAAUGACAAA
Long non-coding RNA from Gallus gallus (chicken), 7405 nucleotides. The record is from Ensembl. Lineage: Eukaryota; Metazoa; Chordata; Aves; Galliformes; Phasianidae.